This 253-nucleotide ribosomal RNA is filed under the name uncultured bacterium. RNAcentral describes it as "partial 16S ribosomal RNA". It matches the Rfam family "Bacterial small subunit ribosomal RNA", at positions 524 to 776 of the family's 1533-position model. The record is from RNAcentral.
UACGGAGGGUGCGAGCGUUGUCCGGAAUCACUGGGCGUAAAGGGCGCGUAGGCGGCUCGGUAAGUAGGGGGUGAAAUCCUGCGGCUUAACCGCAGGGCUGCCUUCUAAACUGUCGAGCUCGAGCACGGUAGAGGCAGAUGGAAUUCCCGGUGUAGCGGUGAAAUGCGCAGAUAUCAGGAGGAACACCAGCGGCGAAGGCGGCGCUCUGGGCUGGAACUGACGCUGAGGAGCGAAAGCGUGGGGAGCGAACAGG